Molecule: unclassified non-coding RNA, 3228 nt
Filed under: Camponotus floridanus (Florida carpenter ant)
Lineage: Eukaryota; Metazoa; Arthropoda; Insecta; Hymenoptera; Formicidae
Description: gMP synthase [glutamine-hydrolyzing], transcript variant X5
Source: RNAcentral
GAUCGAAGCUUGUCGGAAUCGGUUCGUUACACGACUGUAAAACAUCAUUGAAAUAUGUGAUACGCCAGAAGAACGCCAUUAUUGCGCGAAACUGAAAGACAACUGGUCGGUCGCGAAGAAAAGCACAAAGACAUUCAAAUUGUGAUUGUUCUUGGCUGCUGAUUCUACGGCGCACGCUUGUCGAGGAGUGAGAUAAGGCGGUGAACAAUUGGUGUUAUGAAAGAAUAUGCAUCGGCUUGGUAUUAGCAUUUCUUCAUCUAGGAAUUACAGAAGAGCAGGUGGACGGAAGGAAGAUCCUGGAAGGAUUAAUUGAUGACUCGGGACGAGGCGAACACUCGGUUGUUUCGCUCAUGUAAGGUAGUGAUUAAGAUGGCUUGCGAACUCGAUGUUGGUUUACAAGAUUUAGUGAUAUAGCAGUGAUAAUAACAUUGACAAACGUAACAUUGAAAUGGAAAAAAGUGGCGAUGGAUUGCUUUUUCGUGCUGAGAGAAAUAAUGGUGCCGAUGAAACAGCUAUGGACAUUGUUGACGAAAGAGUAGCUAUUUUAGAUGCAGGUGCACAAUAUGGAAAAGUGAUAGAUCGAAAAAUUCGUGAAUUAAAUAUCCAUAGUGAAAUUCUGCCACUUGAUACACCAGCAUUUACUCUUCAAGAAAAAGGAUACAAAGCUAUUAUAAUUUCUGGGGGUCCUAGUUCAGUAUAUGCAGAAGAUGCACCCAGAUAUGAUGCCGAUAUCUUCCGAAUAGGAAUUCCUGUACUAGGUAUUUGUUAUGGAAUGCAAAUGAUGAACAAAGAAUUUGGCGGUACUGUAACCAGAAGGGAAAGUCGAGAAGACGGUCAAUUUCCCAUUGAAGUUGAUACCAAGUGCCUAUUAUUUAAGGGCUUGGAUAAGGAACAAAUGGUACUGCUAACGCACGGAGAUAGCAUAGACAGGGUAGCUGAUUGUUUUCGUACUACUGCCAGAUCGUCAAGCUUUAUAGCGGCUAUAGCGAGUGAUAAGAUGAAUUUGUAUGGCGUACAAUUUCAUCCAGAAGUGGAUCUGACGCCUAACGGAAAAUCGAUGUUACAUAACUUUUUAUUCGGUAUCGCUGGCCUUACGGGCAAUUAUACGCUCCGCGAUCGGGAGGCUCAAUGUAUACAAUAUAUCAGAAAUACUGUAGGCGAUAAAAAGGUUUUGUUAUUGGUGAGCGGUGGUGUGGACUCGACGGUAUGCGCGGCUCUGUUACAAAAGGCUUUAAAUAAGGAGCAAGUUAUAGCCCUACAUAUUAAUAAUGGCUUCAUGCGUAAGGGAGAAACGCAAUUCGUUGAACAAUGUCUAGCCCAAUUGUGCGUGACGUUAAGAGUGGUGAAUGCUGGCCGUUAUUUCAUGCAAGGCACCACGACUGUCCCGUUAGACAAUGUUGCGCCCAUGAUGAAUGCUAAUAUUACGAAUAAUAAAGGAGUAUGUGGUGCGACGAGUAGCCCAAGAACCAGGUUAACCAAGAUGUUAUGCGAAACUACUAAUCCAGAAGAGAAACGAAAAAUAAUAGGAGACGUUUUUGUAAGAGUCGCGAACGAGGCGAUGGCGGAGAUGGGAUUGAAACCGGAAGAUGUUUUCCUCGGGCAAGGCACUCUUAGGCCCGAUCUUAUAGAAAGUGCAAGCAUCUUAGUCAGUGGUAAAGCGGAUGCCAUAAAGACGCACCAUAACGACAGCGAGCUUGUACGAGUACUAAGAGCGCAAGGACAUGUAGUCGAACCAUUGAAAGAUUUUCACAAGGAUGAAGUGAGACAAUUGGGAUGCGAUCUCGGAUUGCCGGCAGCGCUCGUCGCACGUCAUCCGUUUCCCGGCCCUGGACUUGCAGUACGAAUCUUAUGCGCGGAUGAACCUUACAUAGAAAAGGAUUUCUCCGAAACACAGGUCAUAGUAAAAAUAAUGGCAGAGUACGAGCAGAUGCUUCAGAAGAAACACGCAUUGCUCAAUCGAGUGGAAGGCGCGACGACCGAAGCCGAACGUCAACAACUCCGCAGAGUCUCGAGUCAUCGUCAUAUCGCAGCAACUCUCCUACCCAUCCGCAGCGUAGGAGUUCAGGGUGACCGAAGAAGUUACAGUUACGUGGUAGGCUUGUCGUGCGAAGAGACAGUUUCCGAGGGAGUGGAGUGGGAAGAUAUGUUGUUCCUCGCGAAGCUAAUCCCGCGUGUGUGUCACAACGUAAAUCGUGUGUGCUAUAUCUUUGGACCACAGCUUCAUCAUCCAAUCCAAGAUAUCACGCCCACAUAUCUCACCUCCAAUGUGAUAGCAACUCUGCGACAGGCGGACCACUUGGCUAAUCAAGUAUUAACUUCGAAUGGCUGUAUGGGGGCCAUCAACCAAAUGCCCAUUGUUCUGAUCCCAAUACAUUUCGAUCGCGAUGCGGCAUGCCGAACGUUAUCUUGUCAACGUUCUGUUGUGCUCAGGCCGUUCUGUACUAAUGAUUUUAUGACCGGCACACCCGCCAUUCCCGGCAAAGAUUUGCCGAUACACGUGGUGAAAAAAAUAGUGACUGAAAUAUCCACGGUGCCCGGUAUUUCACGUGUUUUAUAUGAUCUAUCGUCUAAACCGCCGGGAACUACUGAAUGGGAGUAGUGAACGCUCAUCUGGUCCCUUUCUAUUUUUUCACCAUCCCUGCGCGCGUAACGACAAAGUGAAAAAAGUAUAUAUAUAAAAAAAAAUAUAUAUAUAUAAUAUUAUGAGAGAUACACGAAUUCGAGAUUAAUGACUUCUUACUAAUUUAUACAAGACCUUCGAGCAAACUUUUUCAAAGGUAUGCAUUAAACGAGUCGUGUAUUAUUAGCUUCUCUAGACAAAGAAUGUCAUUUGCGUUCGAUUAAAAACUUAUAGGUAAGUAUAUUAUAUAUGUUUGCUUGUAAAUAGGUUUCUUAUAUUUACUACACUUUGAUUAUAUAGAAGAUUUAAUUUAUUAAAUUUCCAAGAUUUCAAAUUCACAAUCACCGUUAUUACAUCUCGAAUCAUUACAUCUGAUCGACGGUACCAUUAAAUUGUUAUUGUAUUCUAUUUGCAUAUAACGUUGAACAUGCUUCACGGUUCUCCUAUAUGUCUUAUGCCAAGUACAGUCGUCAUUUUUUGUUAUACAUCUGCAAUAUGAACAUAAGAAGCCUUAUUAUUUAUUAUCCAUCUACGUUGUACAAAAUGGAAAACGUUUACAUAAUACGAACAUACAUCUGAACAUAGAAAUAAAUUACCUGUGCAUGGUU